CACCGCGGUUAUACGAGAGACCCAAGUUGAUAGACAUCGGCGUAAAGAGUGGUUAAGAUGUAUCCGUACUAAAGCCGAACACCUUCAAAGCUGUUAUACGCACCCGGAGGUAAGAAGUCCACUCACGAAAGUGGCUUUACAAUAUCUGAACCCACGAAAGCUAUGACA
Molecule: ribosomal RNA, 168 nt
Filed under: Pristigenys meyeri
Lineage: Eukaryota; Metazoa; Chordata; Actinopteri; Priacanthiformes; Priacanthidae
Description: partial 12S rRNA
Source: RNAcentral